RNAcentral lists this ribosomal RNA (467 nucleotides) under uncultured bacterium. RNAcentral's name for it is "partial 16S ribosomal RNA". It matches the Rfam family "Bacterial small subunit ribosomal RNA", at positions 28 to 507 of the family's 1533-position model. The record is from RNAcentral.
GACGAACGCUGGCGGCGUGCUUAACACAUGCAAGUCGAACGGAAAGGCCCUGCUUUUGUGGGGUGCUCGAGUGGCGAACGGGUGAGUAACACGUGAGUAACCUGCCCUUGACUUUGGAUAACUUCAGGAAACUGGGGCUAAUAACGGAUAGGAGCUCCUGCUGCAUGGUGGGGGUUGGAAAGUUUCGGCGGUUGGGGGUGGACUCGCGGCUUAUCAGCUUGUUGGGGGGGUAGUGGCUUACCAAGGCUUUGACGGGUAGCCGGCCUGAGAGGGUGACCGGCCACAUUGGGACUGAGAUACGGCCCAGACUCCUACGGGAGGCAGCAGUGGGGAAUAUUGCACAAUGGGCGGAAGCCUGAUGCAGCAACGCCGCGUGCGGGAUGACGGCCUUCGGGUUGUAAACCGCUUUCGCCUGUGACGAAGCGUGAGUGACGGUAAUGGGUAAAGAAGCACCGGCUAACUACGUG